GAAAAAUUAGUUUAAAUAAAACAUUAACUUGUCAAGUUAAAAACAUUAAAAACUAAUAUUUUUCU
Molecule: transfer RNA, 65 nt
Filed under: Chauliops fallax
Lineage: Eukaryota; Metazoa; Arthropoda; Insecta; Hemiptera; Malcidae
Description: tRNA-Asp
Rfam family: tRNA
About the family: Transfer RNA (tRNA) molecules are approximately 80 nucleotides in length. Their secondary structure includes four short double-helical elements and three loops (D, anti-codon, and T loops).
Source: RNAcentral